RNAcentral lists this ribosomal RNA (492 nucleotides) under uncultured bacterium. Its description in RNAcentral is "partial 16S ribosomal RNA". It matches the Rfam family "Bacterial small subunit ribosomal RNA", at positions 29 to 507 of the family's 1533-position model. The record is from RNAcentral.
AGUGAACGCUGGCGGUAGGCCUAACACAUGCAAGUCGAACGGCAGCACAGUAAGAGCUUGCUCUUACGGGUGGCGAGUGGCGGACGGGUGAGGAAUACAUCGGAAUCUACUUUUUCGUGGGGGAUAACGUAGGGAAACUUACGCUAAUACCGCAUACGACCUACGGGUGAGAGCAUGGGAUCUUCGCACCUUGCGCGAUUGAAUGAGCCGCUGUCGGAUUAGCUAGUUGGCGGGGUAAAGGCCCACCAAGGCGACGAUCCGUAGCUGGUCUGAGAGGAUGAUCAGCGACACUGGAACUGAGCCACGCUCCAGACGCCUACGGGAGGCAGCAGUGGGGAAUAUUGGACAAUGGGCGCAAGCCUGAUCCAGCCAUACCGCGUGGGUGAAGAAGGCCUUCGGGGUGUAAAGCCCUUUUGUUGGGAAAGAAAAGCAGUAGGUUAAUACCCCGCUGUUCUGACGGUACCCAAAGAAUAAGCACCGGCUAACUUCGUG